Molecule: ribosomal RNA, 300 nt
Filed under: uncultured Acidobacteriota bacterium
Lineage: Bacteria; Pseudomonadati; Acidobacteriota
Description: bacterial SSU rRNA
Rfam family: Bacterial small subunit ribosomal RNA
Source: RNAcentral
ACGUGGGUGACCUGCCUUCGAGCGGGGGAUAACGUCCCGAAAGGGACGCUAAUACCGCAUAACAUCCUGCCUUUUAAGAGGUGGAGAUCAAAGCCGGGGAUCGCAAGACCUGGCACUUGAAGAGGGGCCCGCGCCUGAUUAGCUAGUUGGUGGGGUAAUGGCUCACCAAGGCAACGAUCAGUAUCCGGCCUGAGAGGGCGGACGGACACACUGGGACUGAGACACGGCCCAGACUCCUACGGGAGGCAGCAGUGGGGAAUUGUUCGCAAUGGGCGCAAGCCUGACGGAGCAAUACCGCGU